Molecule: ribosomal RNA, 254 nt
Filed under: uncultured bacterium
Lineage: Bacteria
Description: partial 16S ribosomal RNA
Rfam family: Bacterial small subunit ribosomal RNA
Source: RNAcentral
UACGUAGGGGGCUAGCGUUGUCCGGAAUCAUUGGGCGUAAAGAGCUCGUAGGCGGUUCGAUAAGUCGGGUGUGAAAACUCUGGGCUCAACCCAGAGACGCCACCCGAUACUGUCGUGACUGGAGUCCGGUAGGGGAGUAUGGAAUUUCCGGUGUAGCGGUGAAAUGCGCAGAUAUCGGAAGGAACACCAGUAGCGAAGGCGGUUCUCUGGGCAUUACCUGACGCUGAGGAGCGAAAGUGUGGGGAGCGAACAGG